CCUACGGGCGGCUGCAGUGGGGAAUAUUGGACAAUGGGCGAAAGCCUGAUCCAGCCAUGCCGCGUGUGUGAAGAAGGCCUUCGGGUUGUAAAGCACUUUCAGUGGGGAAGAAAGCCUUGGGGCUAAUACCCUCGAGGAAGGACAUCACCCACAGAAGAAGCACCGGCUAACUCCGUGCCAGCAGCCGCGGUAAUACGGAGGGUGCGAGCGUUAAUCGGAAUUACUGGGCGUAAAGCGCGCGUAGGCGGUCUGAUAAGCCGGUUGUGAAAGCCCCGGGCUCAACCUGGGAACGGCAUCCGGAACUGUCAGGCUAGAGUGCAGGAGGGGAAGGUAGAAUUCCCGGUGUAGCGGUGAAAUGCGUAGAGAUCGGGAGGAAUACCAGUGGCGAAGGCGGCCUUCUGGACUGACACUGACGCUGAGGUGCGAAAGCGUGGGUAGCAAACAGGAUUAGAUACCCCAGUAGUC
RNAcentral lists this ribosomal RNA (465 nucleotides) under Vreelandella stevensii. RNAcentral's name for it is "partial 16S ribosomal RNA". It matches the Rfam family "Bacterial small subunit ribosomal RNA", at positions 338 to 795 of the family's 1533-position model. Lineage: Bacteria; Pseudomonadati; Pseudomonadota; Gammaproteobacteria; Oceanospirillales; Halomonadaceae. The record is from RNAcentral.